This 482-nucleotide ribosomal RNA is filed under the name uncultured bacterium. RNAcentral's name for it is "bacterial SSU rRNA". It matches the Rfam family "Bacterial small subunit ribosomal RNA", at positions 329 to 803 of the family's 1533-position model. The record is from RNAcentral.
UGGCUAACUCCUACGGGAGGCAACAGUGGGGAAUUUUGAACAAUGGGGGCAACCCUGAUCCAGCAAUGCCGCGUGAGUGAAGAAGGCCUUCGGGUUGUAAAGCUCUUUUGUCAGGGAAGAAACGGUAGUAGCUAAUAUCUAUUACUAAUGACGGUACCUGAAGAAUAAGCACCGGCUAACUACGUGCCAGCAGCCGCGGUAAUACGUAGGGUGCAAGCGUUAAUCGGAGUUACUGGGCGUAAAGCGUGCGCAGGCGGUUGUGUAAGUCAGAUGUGAAAUCCCCCGGCUCAACCUGGGAAUUGCAUUUGAGACUGAACGGGUAAAGUGUAUCAGAGGGGGGUAGAAUUCCACGUGUAGCAGUGAAAUGCGUAGAUAUGUGGAGGAAUACCGAUGGCGAAGGCAGCCCCCUGGGAUAACACUGACGCUCAUGCACGAGAGCGUGGGGAGCAAACAGGAUUAGAUACCCCGUGUAGUCCAGCUGG